AUAAUAAUAAUAAAAAAAGCUAUACAAAUUGAAAAUCAAUGACUUUUCUUAGGUCUAUCAGAAAACUGUGAAAGCAGGGCAAACAUCACCACAAAAUUGAGAGAAACUGGCACACCAGAGAGCCAUAGCCAAGAUCUACUUCCUGAAGCAGAAGUGGCUAGAGCCGUAACUUGUAUUAGUUUGCUGAGGAUAAUGGCUUUCAACUCCAUCCAUGUCCCUGCAAAGGACUUGAUCUCAUUUCCUUUUAUGGCUACAUAGUAUUCCAUGUGGUAUAUGUACUACAUUUUAUUUACCCAGUCUAUCAUUGAUGGGCAUUUGGGUUGAUUUCAUGUAUUAGCUAUUGUGAAUAGUGUUGCAAUGAACAUACACAUGCAUGUAUCUUUAUAAUAAAAUGAUUUAUAUUCCUUUGGGUACAUACCCAGUAAUGGGAUUGCUGGGUCAAAUGGUAUUUCUGGUUCUAGGACUUCAAGGAAUUGCCACAGUCUUCCACAAUGGUUGAACUAAUUUACAUUCCUACCAACAGUGUAAAAGCAUUCCUAUUUCUCUGCAACCUCAACAGCAUCAGUUGUUUCUUGACUUUUUAAUAAUCACCAUUCUGACUAGUGUGAGAUGGUAUCUCAUUGUGGUUUUGAUUUGCAUUUCUCUAAUGACUAGCGAUGUUGAACUUUUUUUUUGCAUGUUUGUUGGCCACAUAAAUGUCUUCUUUUGAGAAGUGCCUGUUCAUGUCCUUUGCCCACUUUUUAAUAGGGUUGUUUGUUUUUUUCUUGUAAAUUUGUUUAAGUUCCUUGUAAAUUCUUGAUAUUAGACCUUUGUCAGAUGGAUAAAUAGCAAAUUUUUCUCCAUUCUGUAGGUUGUCUGUUCACUGUGAUGAUAGUUUCUUUUGCUGAGCAGAAGCUCUUUAGUUUAAUGAGACCCCAUUUGUUAAUUUUUCUUUUGUUGCUAUUGUUUUUGGCAUUUUUGUCAUGAAAUCUUUGCCUAUGCCUAUGUCCUGAAUGGUAUUGCCUAGAUUUUCUUCUAGGGUUUUUAUAGUUUUGGGUUUUACAUUUAAGUCUUUAACGUGUCUUGAGCUAAUUUUUGUAUAAGGUGUAAGGAAGGGGGUCCAGUUUCAAUUUUCUGCAUAUGGCUAACCAGUUCUUCCAGCACCAUUAAAUAGAAAAUCCUUUCCCCAUUGCUUGUUUUUGUCAGGUUUGUUGAAGAUCAGAUGGUUGUAGCUGUGUGGUCUUAUUUCUGAGUUCUCGAUUCUGUUCUAUUGGUCUAUGAGUCUGUUUUUGUACCAUCACCAUGCUGUUUUGUUUAUAUGCUGGUUUGGUAGCCUUGUAGUGUAGUUUGAAGUAAGGUAGCAUGAUCCCCCCCAGCUUUGUUAUUUUUGCUUAAUGUUUUCUUGGCUAUACAGACUCUUCUUUGUCCAUAUGAAUUUUAAAACAGAUUAUUCUAAUUCUGUGAAAAAUGUCAAUGGUAGUAUAAGGGGAAGAGCAUUGAAUCUAUAAAUUAUUUUGGGUAGUAUGGCCAUUUUAAUCAUAUUGGUUCUUUCUAUCACUUCCCUUCUUAGCUGUAUUCCUAGGUAUUUUAUUCUCUUUGUAACAACUGUGGAAUUGGAGUUCAUUCAUGAUUUGGCUCUCUGCUUGUCUGUUGUUAGUGUGUAGGAAUCCUGG
This 1652-nucleotide long non-coding RNA is filed under the name Homo sapiens (human). RNAcentral's name for it is "non-protein coding lnc-NOVA1-12:1". Lineage: Eukaryota; Metazoa; Chordata; Mammalia; Primates; Hominidae. The record is from RNAcentral.